RNAcentral lists this unclassified non-coding RNA (355 nucleotides) under soil metagenome. RNAcentral describes it as "partial contains 5.8S ribosomal RNA, internal transcribed spacer 2, and large subunit ribosomal RNA". The stretch from base 1 to 122 matches the Rfam family "5.8S ribosomal RNA", at positions 35 to 154 of the family's 154-position model. The record is from RNAcentral.
GAUGAAGAACGCAGCGAAAUGCGAUAAGUAAUGCGAAUUGCAGAAUUUCUAGUGAGUCAUCGAAUCUUUGAACGCACAUUGCGCCCGCCAGUAUUCUGGCGGGCAUGCCUGUUCGAGCGUCAUUACAACCCUCAGGCCCCCGGGCCUGGCGUUGGGGAUCGGCGGAAGCCCCCUGCGGGCACAACGCCGUCCCCCAAAUACAGUGGCGGUCCCGCCGCAGCUUCCAUUGCGUAGUAGCUAACACCUCGCAACUGGAGAGCGGCGCGGCCACGCCGUAAAACACCCAACUUCUGAAUGUUGACCUCGAAUCAGGUAGGAAUACCCGCUGAACUUAAGCAUAUCAAUAAGCGGAGGA